Long non-coding RNA from Triticum aestivum (bread wheat), 4388 nucleotides. RefSeq lists it as uncharacterized. The transcript is spliced from 4 exons. The record is from RefSeq and is a predicted model, not a curated record. Lineage: Eukaryota; Viridiplantae; Streptophyta; Magnoliopsida; Poales; Poaceae.
GGCCUUCCCCUCUCCCCGCGCGCCGCUGCGGCCUUCCCCUCCUCCAGCGCGCCGCCGUUGCCUCCCCCUUCCCACAACGCGCCGCCCCGGCCUCCCCUACCCCCAGCGCGCCGCCGCACCCACCCACUCCCCCAGCGCUUCGAUGCGACCGCCGCCUUCGCUCUGCGCCGCCAACGCGGAUCCGGCACCCCUGGCCACCGCUGGCCGCCCCGGCCUCCGGCGUUGGCAUGCCCGCAGCCACCACACCUUCCAUGGCCUUGGUCCGCACCCGCCCCAGCUCGCGCCGGCUUUCCCUGCCCCAUCUCUCGCUGGCCGCCUACCUGCGCCGGCCGACCCACCUCCCACCUCUCACACGCCGGCACGACCACACGCCAUCACCGCCGGCAUGGAAGGCGGCCUCACCUUUUCUAACCCAGCUUCGGCCGCUGGCCCGCCCCAACCUACGCUGGCUUCCGCUGACACACCGCCGUCGUUUCCGUGGCCGCAACACCCCGUCCGUUCACAUCCGCCACCCUGGAUCGUUCAAUGACCCAGCGGCAAGCCGUUCGACGUCGCAGCUCGAGAGGUGCCCGUCUCAGCUUUUCCCAACCUCCCCUGGACGUUCAAGCUCCUUCUCUUCAGUAUAUUCAGUUCAACAUCCGGUGCUUCUUCAGUUCAUCGUAGUGUGCAUUUUCACUUCAUCUUGCAGGUAUGAUCAUUCUCUGCCCCUGCUAAUGUAUUUUGUAGUAACUUUGUAAACAAAAGAGAUAGCACACUGGAACAAAACAGCAGUGAAGAAAGAUACCCUGUGUUAAUUUUGGUCACUCUAUUGUUCGUUCCAUCACUUGGAGAUGUGUGCCUGACCAUUUUUUCUCAAAUUUGGCAUUUGUCAAGUUGUGAGGCUACCCAUUCGGGUGUUCAUUUCAUUGGUUAAAUGUUGAAUUUAGGCUAUGAGAUUGGUAAGACCAUAAUCCAUGGACCAGUCUUCAAUUGUUAUCCUGUAGAUCAAUUCGGGUGUCCUUAUGUUACAACAGUUCGAUGACAAAAAACACAUUAGUUCAGAAAAGCAUGUGCAAGCCAAAACAGAGGACAUUAAGAGCUCCAGUGGGAUCAAUACUGAAAUAGAGAGUUCUUAUCUUAGUUCAGUUCAAUAUCUAAUUUUAGUUCGGUUCGAUUCUUAUUUUAGUUCAGUACACUCAUUGCCUAGAACAGCAGCUAUCUGUUAAUCUGGCAAGCAAAAUGAAUCUGAAACCUUUAUGUUCUGGUAUCACUUGGUGCUGUCUGUCAUGAUUUAGGAGGUUCGGAUGAACAGGGACGCGAGCACCUGCCGGAGAGCUCCUCCUCAAUGAGCAAUUGGCCUCGUGGUGCACUUGUGCUCUACACAUGUUUGUCUUAAAGCCUUUUUAAGAAAAGAACAUGUUUAUGAUGUGAAACAUCAGUAGAUUACUAGCGGUUCACUAUGUAUUAUUUCAUUAGUUCUCAUAGAGAAACAUGGGGAAUAGUUCGAUCUGUGUUGGAGAAAUAGUUGAGUUUUAUAUAUCAUACAAAAGAAAAGGAACAUGUUUCCUAUAGGAGAAAAUCGAAAACAUCUUUAGCAACUCACUAUUAUUCUACCACCAGUUAAGAAGCAAAAAUAUAUAGUUUGGUGUUUUAGAGAGAGGGAGAGGGAGAGAUUGAUUUCCUCUACUUGCCUUUUAUAAAUGUCUACUUUCGUGCUACCUUGUUCAGUUCCAUUACUAAAUUUUGGUUAGCUCAAUGCUUGUUAUAGUUUCAGUUCAGUUCAGGCCAAGUAAAAGUACCCAUGAACUGUCUGGGUGCUUGGCCCUUCCCUUCCCCUCCCGCUCGCAGCUCGCUGGCAUUGGAUUCUUCGCUAAUCCAUCUUAGCUUUUCAGUUUGUGCACUGCCAUACAAAAAUGUGAGUACUGCUAUUAGCCAACGUUCGAGACAAAGAAUUACUAGUUUGUAUACUGCCAUUAGCACUUAUACCUCACAAUUUAAUGACUUUGUUUCCUGAGAGCAGGGCAAAAAAAUACAUCAUUGUACUCCAAAAAGAAAAUACUUUAGGAGUGUGAGAAAGGUUUUCUUGCUUAUUACUGUUGGUGCACAACUGUGGUAUUUUAGAAUCCAUCAUCAGUCUAUGCGCGUCCAGCAAAGAUUUUGGUAGCAGUGGCGUUCUUUUUUGCAUCAGUUCAGCCUCAUGAGGCUUUAUCAGUUCAGUUCAGCCUCAUCAGUUCAGUAAGUUUGUUCAGAUCCGGUGUUCCGAUUGCCCAUCUUCACGAAAAGGGGUUGGCCCCGGCCGGCUUGGAUCUAACGAGAGAAGCGAAGUGGGUAGCGGAGGAGCAGCUGCCUUGCAGGCGCAUGGCAAUGGUGGCAUGGCCGCUGCGCAUGACGCAGACAGCAGGGACAGCGCGCCUGCGGAGUCCUGGGAAUUUGAGAUGAAGCCGGAUUCAUGGGCACCGGGGUGGAUUAAGAGAUGGGAGAAGGAAAUCAGUCCAACAGGCGUAUCUAAAGCGACAUGUCGUGAACCACCCACUCGUCCCCACGCUGCUCGUCGUGUCGUGCCGCCUCGCCAUCAACCACCAUUCACCAUUGUGGCUCAACCCUGCGGUGCUUCCACGACCACCACACGCAACCUCCCUCUAUCGUUGCCCUUGCCCUGCUCUCCUCCCUCUAUCAGUUCAAAAACCAUUGUGAAAUGUAUUUUUACUCUGCUUUAAUUGCUGCGGGUGCUUCCCUAUGUGUGAUGAUUCUGAUUGCUUAGCACUUUGUGGAUGGUGGCUUGUUGUAAUGCUUAUCAAUCUACUGUGGCAAUUACGAGAAAUAUCAGUAGCAAGUCCAAGCUCUCUUUAAGUGGUGGUACAUAGUGUAGUGGUAACAGGUGCAAUGAUAAUUCAUCUAAAAUAUGUUCAAGGAGUAAUAUGUUGUUUCCUUACUGUCUAAAUCUUGUUUUGGUUAUGUCUAAAGGUCUAAAGAAACUCAUAAUUUUCUCACUGUUAGCUAUGUAAAACAACUGAACACAAGUUCACUUUUCAUUGCUUUAGUAGUUCAAUGUGUUUUCAGUAUUCUUUUUCUUUAAUGUUUAUUCUAUCAUCCGUUUGGUGUGUAUUUCUGUUUCAGUUCAUCUAGUUGCCGAUUGUAAGUCUAGUUUCCUCUGUGUUUCCACGUUCUUCCUAUAGCACAUAUAAAAGUUUGAUGAGUGUUUAUUCAGUUUCAGGUUAAAAUUGGUUUUUGAUGCUAUUGUUCCUGUGGUGGGUCUGUCAGUAGAAGUUGGAGCAGUCAAGCCCAGCCAUGGCAUGCGUCCGCAGAUGACGACGAUGACUUCGUGUGCGUGCCUGCAUGUGCUCAUGUGUUGUACUGGUGUGGGGUGUGCAUGAUGUGUGUGUGUGUGUUUUUCUGAUUCUAAUUGAAGUUUUCAUCUGGAUGUUUCUCUGAGACGUUCAAGUAUUACUGUCUAAAAGGUGCAGUUAUGAACUCACCCACGGGUUCAGGUUACUUAUUCAUGCUGCUGGCCCUUAGUGCUAGUUGAAAAGUUACAUACUGAAGAUGACUAGUAUCUCUGAGUUCUAAUGCUCCUAACGAUCGUUUGGAAUCUUAUCUUCAAUAUCUUGCUGAUAUGGAAUAGUAGAAUGUCGCAAUAUAUACUUGUACAAAGUUUUUUUAGUACUGAUGACUAGUACUUGCCUUGACAGUACAACGCUUUGCUGCCGGUUGCGAGGAUGUGCAACAUAUCUUUAAGCAAGCAUUUAUGUUGUAUUACAAACAAAAAUCUUUCCUCUGUUCCAUAGAAGAUUGUGUGAUUUUUUAAAUAUAUUUUAGAAAAGAAGUGUACAGACUGUAGCUUAGCAUUUGAUAAUUGUUUGCAACAUGUACGAUCUUUGGAUGAUUAUGUAAUUGUUUUCAUGCGUUACCAUGUGUCCAACAGUUCAGUAUGUAUUUUAUAAUCAUUUCAAAGGGCAUAUCAAAUUCGGUAUGGAUUGUUGCAUCUAUGGUUACUAUCACAAAACACAAAAACAUUUCUUGGAGAAGAAAAUUUAGCCAAUUCAAGUAUAUAAACCAUGCAAGUUCGGUGAUGAUGACACGUCGACACACAUUUUAAAUCAAACCUAAAAGUUACAUUUCUACAAGUUCAAGUGAUCAACCCCUGAACAUUUUGGAUUGUGAAAAAUAAAUCAGUACAAAUACACGCAUAUAUCAGUACGAGCUCUAAAAUUCCGUAUCAGGGUAUUUUUUUCAUUGGUUCUAAAAUUCCCAGAGCAUCAGUCCAACGACGUAUCGGGGUAUACUGUGUUGCUCCUGCGAUUUUUUGUAUGCUUGUAUGUACAAAAAAAAAUGGUACAGUUACUGCUUUGAUGUGUCGUGGUGCGAAUGUUGUUGAUGUUCAAAGUUUGUGCAGAGAAAGACUUCAAAAA